GACGCUGGCGGCAGGCUUAACACAUGCAAGUCGAGCGGUAACAGGGGAAGCUUGCUUCCCGCUGACGAGCGGCGGACGGGUGAGUAAUGCUUAGGAAUCUGCCCAGUAGUGGGGGAUAGCCCGGGGAAACCCGGAUUAAUACCGCAUACGUCCUACGGGAGAAAGCAGGGGGUCUUCGGACCUUGCGCUAUUGGAUGAGCCUAAGUCGGAUUAGCUAGUUGGUGGGGUAAAGGCCUACCAAGGCGACGAUCCGUAGCUGGUCUGAGAGGAUGAUCAGCCACAUCGGGACUGAGACACGGCCCGAACUCCUACGGGAGGCAGCAGUGGGGAAUAUUGGACAAUGGGGGCAACCCUGAUCCAGCCAUGCCGCGUGUGUGAAGAAGGCUUUCGGGUUGUAAAGCACUUUCAGUAGGGAGGAAAACCUUAUGGCUAAUACCCAUGAGGCUUGACGUUACCUACAGAAGAAGCACCGGCUAACUCCGUGCCAGCAGCCCGCGGUAAUAC
This 504-nucleotide ribosomal RNA is filed under the name uncultured bacterium. RNAcentral's name for it is "bacterial SSU rRNA". It matches the Rfam family "Bacterial small subunit ribosomal RNA", at positions 33 to 526 of the family's 1533-position model. The record is from RNAcentral.